RNAcentral lists this ribosomal RNA (497 nucleotides) under uncultured bacterium. RNAcentral describes it as "partial 16S ribosomal RNA". It matches the Rfam family "Bacterial small subunit ribosomal RNA", at positions 28 to 507 of the family's 1533-position model. The record is from RNAcentral.
GAUGAACGCUGGCGGCGUGCCUAAUACAUGCAAGUCGAGCGAACAGACGUGGAGCUUGCUCCUCUGACGUUAGCGGCGGACGGGUGAGUAACACGUGGAUAACCUACCUAUAAGACUGGGAUAACUUCGGGAAACCGGAGCUAAUACCGGAUAAUAUAUUGAACCGCAUGGUUCAAUAGUGAAAGACGGUUUUGCUGUCACUUAUAGAUGGAUCCGCGCCGCAUUAGCUAGUUGGUAAGGUAACGGCUUACCAAGGCGACGAUGCGUAGCCGACCUGAGAGGGUGAUCAGCCACACUGGAACUGAGACACGGUCCAGACUCCUACGGGAGGCAGCAGUAGGGAAUCUUCCGCAAUGGGCGAAAGCCUGACGGAGCAACGCCGCGUGAGUGAUGAAGGUCUUCGGAUCGUAAAACUCUGUUAUUAGGGAAGAACAAAUGUGUAAGUAACUAUGCACGUCUUGACGGUACCUAAUCAGAAAGCCACGGCUAACUACGUG